AUUGAACGCUGGCGGCAGGCCUAACACAUGCAAGUCGAGCGGAUGAAGGGAGCUUGCUCCUGGAUUCAGCGGCGGACGGGUGAGUAAUGCCUAGGAAUCUGCCUGGUAGCGGGGGAUAACGUCCGGAAACGGGCGCUAAUACCGCAUACGUCCUGAGGGAGAAAGUGGGGGAUCUUCGGACCUCACGCUAUCAGAUGAGCCUAGGUCGGAUUAGCUAGUUGGUGGGGUAAAGGCCUACCAAGGCGACGAUCCGUAACUGGUCUGAGAGGAUGAUCAGUCACACUGGAACUGAGACACGGUCCAGACUCCUACGGGAGGCAGCAGUGGGGAAUAUUGGACAAUGGGCGAAAGCCUGAUCCAGCCAUGCCGCGUGUGUGAAGAAGGUCUUCGGAUUGUAAAGCACUUUAAGUUGGGAGGAAGGGCAGUAAGUUAAUACCUUGCUGUUUUGACGUUACCAACAGAAUAAGCACCGGCUAACUUCGU
This 483-nucleotide ribosomal RNA is filed under the name uncultured bacterium. RNAcentral's name for it is "partial 16S ribosomal RNA". It matches the Rfam family "Bacterial small subunit ribosomal RNA", at positions 30 to 506 of the family's 1533-position model. The record is from RNAcentral.